This 738-nucleotide ribosomal RNA is filed under the name bacterium IMCC8670. RNAcentral describes it as "bacterial SSU rRNA". It matches the Rfam family "Bacterial small subunit ribosomal RNA", at positions 28 to 747 of the family's 1533-position model. The record is from RNAcentral.
GACGAACGCUGGCGGCGUGCCUAAUACAUGCAAGUCGAGCGGACCGAAGGGAGCCUGCUCCUUUAGGUUAGCGGCGGACGGGUGAGUAACACGUGGGCAACCUGCCCUGCAGACUGGGAUAACUUCGGGAAACCGGAGCUAAUACCGGAUAACACCGAAAACCGCAUGGUUUUCGGUUGAAAGGCGGCUUUUAGCUGUCACUGCAGGAUGGGCCCGCGGCGCAUUAGCUAGUUGGUGAGGUAACGGCUCACCAAGGCGACGAUGCGUAGCCGACCUGAGAGGGUGACCGGCCACACUGGGACUGAGACACGGCCCAGACUCCUACGGGAGGCAGCAGUAGGGAAUCUUCCGCAAUGGACGAAAGUCUGACGGAGCAACGCCGCGUGAGCGAAGAAGGUCUUCGGAUCGUAAAGCUCUGUUGUCAGGGAAGAACAAGUACCGUUCGAACAGGGCGGUACCUUGACGGUACCUGACGAGGAAGCCACGGCUAACUACGUGCCAGCAGCCGCGGUAAUACGUAGGUGGCAAGCGUUGUCCGGAAUUAUUGGGCGUAAAGCGCGCGCAGGCGGUUCCUUAAGUCUGAUGUGAAAUCUCGCGGCUCAACCGCGAGCGGCCAUUGGAAACUGGGGAACUUGAGUGCAGGAGAGGGGAGCGGAAUUCCACGUGUAGCGGUGAAAUGCGUAGAGAUGUGGAGGAACACCAGUGGCGAAGGCGGCUCUAUGGCCUGUAACAGACGCU